This 415-nucleotide ribosomal RNA is filed under the name uncultured bacterium. RNAcentral describes it as "bacterial SSU rRNA". It matches the Rfam family "Bacterial small subunit ribosomal RNA", at positions 508 to 921 of the family's 1533-position model. The record is from RNAcentral.
UCAGCAGCCGCGGUAAUACAUGGGGUGCAAACGUUGCUCGGAAUUAUUGGGCGUAAAGCGCGCGUAGGCGGUCGCUUAAGUCGGAUGUGAAAUCCCUCGGCUUAACUGAGGAAGUGCAUCCGAGACUGAAUGGCUAGAGUACGAAAGAGGGUCGCGGAAUUCCCGGUGUAGAGGUGAAAUUCGUAGAUAUCGGGAGGAACACCGGCGGCGAAGGCGGCGACCUGGUUCGAGACUGACGCUGAGGCGCGAAAGCGUGGGGAGCAAACAGGAUUAGAUACCCUGGUAGUCCACGCCGUAAACGAUGGAUGCUAGAUGUUUCUGGUAUUGACCCCGGAGGCGUCGUAGCUAACGCGUUAAGCAUCCCGCCUGGGGAGUACGGCCGCAAGGCUAAAACUUAAAGGAAUUGGCGGGGGAU